This 1876-nucleotide long non-coding RNA is filed under the name Nicotiana benthamiana. RNAcentral describes it as "long non-coding RNA (NBEN_LNC039431)". The record is from RNAcentral. Lineage: Eukaryota; Viridiplantae; Streptophyta; Magnoliopsida; Solanales; Solanaceae.
GUAAUCUUGUUGUUAAAGAGUUUCAAAGACCACAUUUUCCUUCGUUGAUGUAUAAUUUUAAUAAAUAUAAUUACACCAAUUUAUAUUUUUUUGUGUAGUUAUCCAGUAAUAUUCAUUACCAUAUGCUUUCUUACACAUAUAUACAACAACCACGCAUAUAAAAAUAUACAAAUAAUACAAAUUCAUUCUCAACAAAAAUUCAUUGUUCAUUACAAAGAACCGAAGGAUGAUAAUGUCUAUUAAUAUACCCAUUCAAAUUGCAUGAUACUAUUUUUAUCAACUCCUAAAAAUAGACACUAGAACUGUAGCACAAUGUUCAAAUGAAAAUCUUUAAACCACUGCCAACACAACAGAAACUCUAUUUUGCUUCAACUUGCUCCGCACAUUCUUCAAGCAUAGGUUCUUCAGACUUCCAAGUUCCUGGUCUGUUAAAAGAAGUCAUGUUACUUUAGUGAAAAAAAAUCCUACUAGCUACUUUAUUUAGAAAACAAAUGAAUAAUUUAAUCACCAAAUCAACUAAACAAUUGGCGUAAAAUAUAUUUGAUUAAAUGGAUGCUGCCAAUGAAUAGUUUUUAAAAGUUUAUCUUUUAUAUUCAAGUAUGAUGAAAUUAAGAUUUCAAGUCAGAAAAGUUCUAAAAUUUUAAUGCAGAGUAAGAUUGAUAAUCUGGCUACUGUUUAAAUAACCAAGAAGUGCAGCAAAAAGUAAGUACAAAAUCCCAAGAUAAAUAGAACGGAUCAUAAAUGAUCAAUGCUGAGAAAAAUUUGGAACAACUUAGUAAUCCAUGUUUCCUUCAAUUCAAUGAUACAAGUAACAACAACAAACCAGUAUAAUCCCACUUAGUGGGGUAACCCCACUUAAUGGGAUUGGGGAGGGUUAGUAUGUAUCCAAAACCUUACCCCUACCCUGGGAUAGAAAGGCUGUUUACAAAUAGACCCUCGGCAUCCUUCCCUCCCAAGAACUUCUCACCUUGCUCUUGGGGAGACUCAAACUCACAACCUCUCGGUUGCAAGUGGAGGUUGCCAACCUAGAUAUCUCCUUUCUUAAAUGGUACAGCAGCUGGGAAUGCGCCAUUAUUUUCUAUGUAAACUAAAGAGAUUGUAUGAUUCAACUACAGGCUACACUAUGAAAAUUACAAUUUAAAUAGAUUUACUUUAAGUUUUAACAAGAGAGAAGAUAGAUAAAGUAAUGAUAAGGUCAGGAUAUGGUCAUAUAUCCAUAGUAGGUAACUUCUGUUAUUUGAAUACCAGUCUAGACAGCACACUCCUUAUUUGAAUCCCAGUCUAUAGAACAAACACCUUGUUUGAAUCCUAAAUCCAGGCCUCACAAUUCAAUUGGCAACUUCAGACAAACUCAUGACCAAGUAAAAUUAUUAGUGGUUGCACGACUCAGUAGCCAUUCAGACCUCAUAAGAAAAUUUUAUCUUAUAAAGAAUGGAUACAACUUUUGUUGCUGUAGCUAUAACCGGUAAGAUUUUAGAUUUAUCUAUAUAUGAUCAACUCAUUAUUUCAAGAACCAGAGUACAAGUUCAUAUCAUCCAGCAUGGACCAUUCAUAUAAGAAUGGUCGAAAUAAAAAAUAUUUCAGAAAAUGUACACACCACUUAAUAUUGCAAUAUGCGUGCAGAUAUAAUCAGAUAUUACGAGUUUUCGCAACUACAAAAAGUGAUAGAGGGUUUAAAGUUUAAACUUUUCAACCAGAAAACAAGAAAACACGUCCAUUCGAUAUGCAUGUAGUGUUAUAAUCAGAUAUCACCAGUUUCCACAUCUACAAAAAUUAAUAAAGGGCAUCAACUUUUAUACCAGAAAAUACUUUUCCAUCCACACCAAAAUAAAAGGAACAGAAAAAGAUUCUUCUGACAGCUACUACUCUCAGCAGA